UCCGUAGGCGGGCGUCUAAGUCAGUGGUGAAAUCUUACAGCUCAACUGUAAAAUUGCCAUUGAUACUGGAUGUCUUGAAUUAGUGUGAAGUGGUUAGAAUGUGUAGUGUAGCGGUGAAAUGCAUAGAUAUUACACAGAAUACCAAUUGCAAAGGCAGAUCACUAACACUAUAUUGACGCUGAGGGACGAAAGCGUGGGUAGCGAACAGGAUUAGAUACCCUGGUAGUCC
This 229-nucleotide ribosomal RNA is filed under the name uncultured bacterium. Its description in RNAcentral is "partial 16S ribosomal RNA". It matches the Rfam family "Bacterial small subunit ribosomal RNA", at positions 568 to 796 of the family's 1533-position model. The record is from RNAcentral.